Nicotiana attenuata is the source of this 734-nucleotide long non-coding RNA. RefSeq lists it as uncharacterized. NCBI's taxonomy places the organism in Eukaryota, Viridiplantae, Streptophyta, Magnoliopsida, Solanales, Solanaceae. The transcript is spliced from 3 exons. The record is from RefSeq and is a predicted model, not a curated record.
AACACCCAUAAAAGAUGCAUUUCGCUUGGUCUUACUGUGCCUUCCAGUAUAUAAGAAAUUAAUCUGACUACAGCAUCUCAACUUGAAGGUUUAGAAACUAAGAUUCGGAAUGGAAGUUACAUAAUGUGUUCUCCUGUGUAGCAGUAUUGGAGGCAAGGAAGAUAUAAUGGCAAGGUACACAUGGCCAAGUUCUCCGCAAACAGUUUCAUCACCUUGUACCACGAUAACAUAGUACCAACCGCAAAGAUUCAGCCGCAAUCUACUAUAAAACUCUCUCGCAUCGGAGGUAAAAUGUUGCUACCGGCUACUGACCAAGAACUCUAUGAAACCAUUAUGUUCCCAUUGCGGGCAAUAAUACAGAAUCGGUGUAAGGAGAAUUCAUUGGGCAAGUUGCAAUAAACGUGUGAUGUUAAUACUCAGAUUGCAGUGGAACAGUUGUUGCAACCUUAUCAAGCCAAUUAGGAAAAAAAUUUCUUGAAAUUACCUCUGCAGAAAUGUAUGAAAUAAUCUCUGUAAAGGUAUGUUAAUGAGAAUAAGAGACUGUUAGUCAUUUCUGAGCAUUUAUUGUACAUUAGAAAAACAAUCUACCCUUGUUGAGAUGCCAUUGAGAUAAAAAAGCUUGAAAUAGUCUCGGCUAAAGAGCUUUCACAACCCAUGGUGUCAUUGUUUAGGUUUCCUUGGUUUACCACCAAAUGCAAACUUGUUUCGGGCCAGAGGUGCACCUUUAAGUUAUA